This 479-nucleotide long non-coding RNA is filed under the name Parus major (Great Tit). RNAcentral describes it as "lncRNA (ENSPMJG00000011487.1)". The record is from RNAcentral. Lineage: Eukaryota; Metazoa; Chordata; Aves; Passeriformes; Paridae.
UGAGGGAAGAUAAUAGAAAACAAAUCAAAUACCAAAUGUAGACAAAAACGAUUUGUUUCGAAUUAUCAUUACUACAUGACUCUAUAUUGCAUGAUUUUCUUCUUGAAACAUCCCUGAAGUACAAUAUGAGGAUGGUAAAUGGUAAUACUGCCUUGCUGUGUUUCUCCAGCACAUUUAUUGGUGGAGAACUGUACUUUCCCAUGACAAUCAAGAUGGGGGAAAAAAAAGUGCAUCUUACCUUAUAAAAGGAAAAGAACAGCAUGCAUUCAGCAAUAAUUUAUUCCACCAGCUGCUUUUUCUCAUUCCCUGUGGUCAGAAGACUUUGUCCUAAACCUGAAGCCUGGAUUUGUCAAAAGCAAAAAUAAGAAAGCUGUAAGUUUAGACUUGAAGUGCUUCCUGGAAUAACUAUCAGCCUUGCAAAGACAAAGGUGAAGUACAUCCUCCCAGAUGUCAUGAGAGCUCCUUCCUUCACUGAUGGA